AACCUAGCACACCUGCGGUGUGUACCUGCGGAAGGAUCAUUAUUGAUAAAGGAUGUGCUGGCAUUGAUAAUUUCUCAAUGCAAAUGUGCACUCCAAAUCUUCCAUUUCACCACCGUGCAUCUAUGAGGUUAGAGGGGUUAUUUGCUAAAGUAACCCUAACUAACUAACCUCUUUUAUAACUUGCAACCUAAACUAACUUUACUUGGAGAUGUGUUGUAAAUUUUGUAACAACUUUUAACA
This 240-nucleotide unclassified non-coding RNA is filed under the name soil metagenome. RNAcentral's name for it is "partial contains 5.8S ribosomal RNA, internal transcribed spacer 2, and large subunit ribosomal RNA". The record is from RNAcentral.